GUCGCCGCAACUACCGCCGCCUCCAGCUCGAUCGGGCUUCGCCUCUGUCAUUUCCAGAUCCGCCUCCGCCUUCAUCGCUGCCAGAUCCGCCUCAAAGGCAUUCCACCAAUGGAUAAUAGAACCAAACCCAGUGCAGAUGCGGAAGAUCCUCCUCAAAAUCAAUCGGAUAUCCCACAACCAAAAAUGUCUUUGUGGCUAACCAAACUAACAUCGGGGUACAGAAGGAUGUCUUUAGUCUCAGAGCACCCUAUACACAUGACCUCAUACGAAAGGAUGGAAAAAUGCUAUCUCAGUUCUUUUGUGUGUCCAAAGGUAAAAUUAUGAACCGAAGUUCUACCAACCAGCCAGAAUGUGACUUAGGAUGAUGCAGUAUUGCAUCUACACAACAUUAUAGAUGGUUCUGAAGUCUCUGUAAAUAGUUUUUUAAAAUGGUUUGGAACAAAUAGUCUUUUUUUUUUUUGGUUAAGUAAAUGAAUAGGCUCUUCAUCCUGACAGAAUGAUAUUUAGGUUGCAUAUUUUCUAAUGCUCUUUGAUUAUGAUUUAUUGUUCAUUUGGAUGUCACAAUACAAUAUUCCUGAAAUGGGAAGACAUGAAAUCCUAUGUUUCUAAUAGGGGGUUUUAAGGAUUAAAAUUGUUGUUGGCAUUGUUUCAAGAAUCUAUUUCCGAUUGAAGUUAGGAGGGUAACUGAGAUUAGAGUAGUUUAUCUGAAGGUCCUCCUUUGCCUCGUCUGCAAGAUGAGCUCUGAUUCCUUUUCUUUCUUCAUUUUAUUUUUCUCUAGUUCUGUGCUUUGUUGAGCUAUUUUGCCUGUUUUCUUUGAGGUUGGUGAACGGCCUACAAUUCCAUUCAAUGGAUUUGGUUUUUUCCUUUUUGUGGGUAACUGAAGCUGUGUGAUCUUUUGAUCCAGAUUGCUUGCUUAAGUGUUCCUGGCCUAUUCUGCGUUAUUACUUUGCUGUUUUAAAAUUUAAGAAAAAGAGAACGGUCCCACCUUGCAGGCUGUUUCACACACAAUGAACACUGAGCUCUCUGACUCUUGAAAUACCGUGUUAAUCCAGUUGUAUAUUCUUGAUUGUAUUAUGAAUUGUUAUGAAUUGCAUUUAAGUGAUUGGUGGGUCCAUUGUCGGCUUUGUGAAUUUAUUUGGGAUAAAUGAUUUGCUUUAGUGAUGUCUAAAUUUAAAAGGAGUAUUAAAAUUUUGUAGAAUUUAAAAACAAGUAUGAGAAAGCAAAGAAAAAUUAGGUCUCAAAUGUCGGGGGCCACAAUUGUCGAGCUCAUUGGUAGAACAGAUUUAGGAAGCUAUUAAGACAAUUAUGAAAUCCUUUUACAAUCAC
Molecule: long non-coding RNA, 1326 nt
Organism: Diospyros lotus (date-plum)
Lineage: Eukaryota; Viridiplantae; Streptophyta; Magnoliopsida; Ericales; Ebenaceae
Exons: 3
Source: RefSeq, a predicted model, not a curated record